This 84-nucleotide unclassified non-coding RNA is filed under the name Pseudomonas migulae. The record is from RNAcentral. Lineage: Bacteria; Pseudomonadati; Pseudomonadota; Gammaproteobacteria; Pseudomonadales; Pseudomonadaceae.
UGUAGGAGCCGGCUUGCUGGCGAUGAGGCCCUUGAGCCUUGCGGUGAAUUCAAGGCCGCCAUCGCCAGCAAGCCGGCUCCUACA